UUGAACGCUGGCGGCAUGCUUUACCCAUGCAAGUCGCACGGCAGCGCGGGCUUCGGCCUGGCGGCGAGUGGCGAACGGGUGAGUAAUGCAUCGGAACGUGCCCAGUAGUGGGGGAUAGCCCGGCGAAAGCCGGAUUAAUACCGCAUACGACCUGAGGGUGAAAGCGGGGGACCGAAAGGCCUCGCGCUAUUGGAGCGACCGAUGUCGGAUUAGCUAGUUGGUGGGGUAAAGGCUUACCAAGGCGACGAUCCGUAGCUGGUCUGAGAGGACGACCAGCCACACUGGGACUGAGACACGGCCCAGACUCCUACGGGAGGCAGCAGUGGGGAAUUUUGGACAAUGGGGGCAACCCUGAUCCAGCCAUGCCGCGUGCGGGAAGAAGGCCUUCGGGUUGUAAACCGCUUUUGUUCGGGAAGAAAUCCUCUGGGCUAAUACCCCGGGGGGAUGACGGUACCGGAAGAAUAAGCACCGGCUAACUACGUG
This 483-nucleotide ribosomal RNA is filed under the name uncultured bacterium. RNAcentral's name for it is "partial 16S ribosomal RNA". It matches the Rfam family "Bacterial small subunit ribosomal RNA", at positions 29 to 507 of the family's 1533-position model. The record is from RNAcentral.